This is a long non-coding RNA of Nerophis ophidion (straightnose pipefish), 1534 nucleotides long. RefSeq lists it as uncharacterized. The record is from RefSeq and is a predicted model, not a curated record. NCBI's taxonomy places the organism in Eukaryota, Metazoa, Chordata, Actinopteri, Syngnathiformes, Syngnathidae. The transcript is spliced from 3 exons.
GGAUCGAGACUUCAGUUGAGAGAGAGAGACAGCGAGAGAGAGAGAGAGAGAGAGGAUGCGAAUCACUGCUGAGAUGGAUAUCAGAAAGUUAUUCGCCCGCAGCAGGGAAGAAGCAGAGAGGAAUGAGAGAUGAUGCGUCAUGUGACUGAGUGGGGAACCAGUGUACAUCACACUCAAAGUGAACAUGAUGUCAUGUGACUGAGUGGGGACCAGUGUACAUCCCGCCCAAAGUGAACAUGAUGUCCUGUGACUGAGUGGGGACCAGUGUACAUCCCACCCAAAGUGAACAUGAUGUCCUGUGACUGAGUGGGGACCAGUGUACAUCACACCCAAAGUGAACAUGAUGUCAUGUGACUGGGGCACCAGUGUACAUCACACUCAAAGUGAACAUGAUGUCAUGUGACUGAGUGGGGACCUGUGUACAUCACACCCAAAGUGAACAUGAUGUCAUGUGACUGAGUGAGGACCAGUGUACAUCACACCCAAAGUGAACAUGAUGUCUUGUGACUGAGUGGGGACCAUUGGACCAAAGUCAGUGGAGAAACCUUCCAUGUGUCUGAUACGGAACUAGUGGACCACAGUCAGUGGAGAUACCUUCCAUGCGGCUAAGUGGGGACCAGUGGACCAAAGUCAGUGGAGAUACCUUCCAUGUGACUGAGUGGGGACCAGUGGAGAUACCUUCCAUGUGACUGAGUGGGGACCAGUGGACCAAAGUCAGUGGAGAUACCUUCCAUGUGACUUGAGUGGGGACCAGUGGAGAUACUUUCCAUGUGACUGAGUGGGGACCAGUGGACCACAGUCACUGUAGAUACCUUUCAUGUGACUGAGUGGGGACCAGUGGAUAUACCUUCCAUGAGACUGAGUAGGGACCAGUGGAGAUACUUUCCAUGUGAAUGAGUAGGGACCAGAGAAGAUAUCUUCCAUGUGACUGAGUAGGGACCUGUGGAUAUGCCUUCCAUGUGACUAAGUAGGGACCAGUGGACCAAAGUCAGUGGAGAUACCUUCCAUGAGUGGGGACCAGUGGAGAUACCUUCCAUGUGACUAAGUGGGGACCAGUAGACCAAAUUUGGAGGAGAUAUCUUCUAUGUGACUGAGUGGGGACCAGUGGACCACAGUCAGUGGAGAUACCUUCCAUUUGACUGAGUGUGGACCAGUGGAGAUAUUUUCAAUGUGACUGAGUGGGGACCAGUGGACCGCAGUCAGUGGCGAUACCUUCCAUGUGACUGAGUGGGGACCAGUGGACCACAGUCAGUGAAGAUACCUUCCAAGUGACUGAGUGGGGACCAAUGGACCACAGUCAGUGGAGAUACCUUCCAUGUGACAGAGUAGGGACCAGUGGAGAAACUUUCCAUGUGAAUGAGUUGGGACCAGUGGAGAUACAUUCCAUGUGAGUCAGCAAUUAUGACGAAGACAUGAAAUAAAAACAUUGUUUACAAAGUCACACAUGAUUUAUAUUUGUGUACUUCUGAACAAAUACAAGUUCUUGAAGGAGCCCUUUAUUCAAAUGUUGACAGGCUGCGCUCAUGAUAAUCAA